CUCUGUUUCGAAAGAUCCAGGGCGGAAGGAG
Molecule: non-coding RNA, 31 nt
Filed under: unclassified sequences
Description: L31-Firmicutes ribosomal protein leader
Rfam family: L31-Firmicutes ribosomal protein leader
Source: RNAcentral